Molecule: ribosomal RNA, 183 nt
Filed under: uncultured cyanobacterium
Lineage: Bacteria; Bacillati; Cyanobacteriota
Description: partial 16S ribosomal RNA
Source: RNAcentral
GGAGUAUGGGCCGUGUCUCAGUCCCAUUGUGGCUGAUCAUCCUCUCAAACCAGCUACUGAUCGUCGCCUUGGUGGUCCAUUACACCCCCAACUAGCUAAUCAGAUGCAGACUCAUCCUGAAGCGAUAAAUACUUUCUACGAAUAGUAUCUCAACUACGCGCAUAUGGGGUAGUUAGCAGAAGU